This 497-nucleotide ribosomal RNA is filed under the name uncultured bacterium. Its description in RNAcentral is "partial 16S ribosomal RNA". It matches the Rfam family "Bacterial small subunit ribosomal RNA", at positions 28 to 507 of the family's 1533-position model. The record is from RNAcentral.
GAUGAACGCUGGCGGCGUGCCUAAUACAUGCAAGUCGAGCGAACGGACGAGAAGCUUGCUUCUCUGAUGUUAGCGGCGGACGGGUGAGUAACACGUGGAUAACCUACCUAUAAGACUGGGAUAACUUCGGGAAACCGGAGCUAAUACCGGAUGAUAUUUUGAACCGCAUGGUUCAAAAGUGAAAGACGGUCUUGCUGUCACUUAUAGAUGGAUCCGCGCUGCAUUAGCUAGUUGGUAAGGUAACGGCUUACCAAGGCAACGAUGCAUAGCCGACCUGAGAGGGUGAUCGGCCAGACUGGAACUGAGACACGGUCCAGACUCCUACGGGAGGCAGCAGUAGGGAAUCUUCCGCAAUGGGCGAAAGCCUGACGGAGCAACGCCGCGUGAGUGAUGAAGGUCUUCGGAUCGUAAAACUCUGUUAUUAGGGAAGAACAUAUGUGUAAGUAACUGUGCACAUCUUGACGGUACCUAAUCAGAAAGCCACGGCUAACUACGUG